Molecule: small nuclear RNA, 106 nt
Filed under: Notamacropus eugenii (tammar wallaby)
Lineage: Eukaryota; Metazoa; Chordata; Mammalia; Diprotodontia; Macropodidae
Source: RNAcentral
GUGCUUUGUUUGGCAGCAUAUAUACUAAAAUUGCAAUGAUACAGAGAAAGCUAGCAUGGCACCUGGGUAAGAUUAUAGGAAAAUUCAUGAAGCAUUCCAUAUUUUU